Molecule: long non-coding RNA, 928 nt
Filed under: Homo sapiens (human)
Lineage: Eukaryota; Metazoa; Chordata; Mammalia; Primates; Hominidae
Description: DPPA2 upstream binding RNA
Source: RNAcentral
GCACCCACGCGGCGCAGCUCCCAAAGUUGCAGACAGCCCGGCGAACCGCGCAAUGCGCUUCUUCUGCCUGCAGCAGAGAAAAGGAAAGAAAACUCCGCAGGGGCUCCGUUGGCUUCUCCACGAGUGACAACCAUGUUUUCCCAGAUAGAAGACCGGAGCCCUGCUCCUUUGCGAUCCGCCGAGGGCUGCAGAGAGCAUCCUCAUCCAUUUGGGCACCCCUGCCCAGGAAGAGCCCGGCCAUCCCUUUCCGGACUGGAUCCUUAAGAGGUGAAUUUUCUUCCGUGGAUUCCGAUUUGCUCCGUCUGACCAGCCUAGGCAAUCCAGCAUCGCGUGGUACCAGUGCCGCUGGGCACACUGGCUUCACGCCGGCUCCGCCUCACCAGCAAGCGCAUUCCCAGGUGGUCAGGCUCAGGAUGGACCAUGAGCUUUCAAAAAGGAAAAAGCUUUUUCUGGAGGAAAUUCGCAUUUGAAUUGAUGGACUGAAUAAAGCAGAUUGCAGUCCCCAGUGUGGAUGGGCUUGAUCCAGUCUUCUAAGGACCCAAAUAAAAUAGGUGGAGGAAGCUUGAAUUUUCUGCCUGACUGUGGCGCUGGGACACCCAUCUUCUCCUGCCCUUGAACUGGGACUGACACCAUCAGUGCUCCUGGUUCUCAGACCUUCGGACAGCAGACUUGGGGCCUUCUCGGCCUCCAUUAUUGUCUGCUUUUAGAUAUUUAACGGGAGAGGAAAAGAGAAAAUAUGAUUAAAGCCUUUGAAAGUCCAUUUCCAAGAAAUAAAAACUGCAGUAGGAAUUCUACAAAACUGAAAAAUCUUCAGGACUGGAAGAUCUAUCCAGAAAAGCCCAGUGGAUUAUAAUAACUUAUUAAAAUAUUUGUUUGGCAAGCCACUGACUAAUACCACUUUAAGAUAUGAAUGCAUUACCAAAAAAAA